CCGACGGUGAGAGACGAAAGCUGGGGGCACGAACCGGAUUAGAUACCCGGGUAGUCCCAGCUGUAAACGAUGCUCGCUAGGUGUCAGGUGCGGUGCGACCGCAUCUGGUGCCGCAGUGAAAACUUGAAGCGAGUCACCUGGGAAGUGCGGUCGCAAGGCUGAAACUUAAAGGAAUUGGCGGGGGAGCACUACAACGGGUGGAGCCUGCGGUUCAAUUGGAUUCAACGCCGGAAAGCUUACCGGACUC
Molecule: ribosomal RNA, 247 nt
Filed under: uncultured archaeon
Lineage: Archaea
Description: partial 16S ribosomal RNA
Rfam family: Archaeal small subunit ribosomal RNA
Source: RNAcentral